GGAAUGUGAUAUAUCACAAAAUUUUGGCUUUCCGUUAUAGAUUGGAUAAACAUUUAUGGCAUUCUCUUGCCUUUUAGUGCAAAAGAAGUAAUUUAGGUGUAUCUGAGGAUUUUCUUAACAGUAAAACAGUUAAUAACAUUUUGUUGUAACUAAAAUUUUUCAUAUACAAAUGUACAUGUAAGCACACAUCCCCCCAAAAAUAUGGUGGGGUAGAAUAUUUAAAAUAUUGUAUCAAUAUAGAAAAAUACUCUGUACGUUUCCUAACCCCUGUACACAAAGUAAAAGGGGAUCAGAAAUGGCAUUUGUUAGAAGCAGCU
This 317-nucleotide long non-coding RNA is filed under the name Mytilus galloprovincialis (Mediterranean mussel). Lineage: Eukaryota; Metazoa; Mollusca; Bivalvia; Mytilida; Mytilidae. The record is from RNAcentral.